ACGGGUGAGUAACGCGUGGGAAUCUACCGUACCCUACGGAAUAGCUCUGGGAAACUGGAAGUAAUACCGUAUACGCCCGGAAGGGGAAAGAUUUAUCGGGGUAUGAUGAGCCCGCGUUGGAUUAGCUAGUUGGUGGGGUAAAGGCCUACCAAGGCGACAAUCCAUAGCUGGUCUGAGAGGAUGAUCACCCACAUUGGGACUGAGACACGGCCCAAACUCCUACGGGAGGCAGCAGUGGGGAAUAUUGGACAAUGGGGGCAACCCUGAUCCACCCAUGCCGCGUGAGUGAUGAAGGUCUUAUGAUUGUAAAGCUCUUUCACCGAUGAAAAUAAUGACGGUAGUCGGAGAAAAAACCCCGGCAAACUUCUUGCCACCAGCCGCGGUAAUACAAAAGGGGCUAGCGUUGUUCGGAAUUACUGGGCGUAAAGCGCACGUAUGCGGAUAAUUAAGUCAGGGGUGAAAUCCCGCAGCUCAACUGCGGAACUGCCUUUGAUACUGGUUAUCUUGAGUAUGGAAGAGGUAAGUGGAAUUGCGAGUGUAUAGGUGAAAUUCUUAUA
This 557-nucleotide ribosomal RNA is filed under the name uncultured bacterium. Its description in RNAcentral is "bacterial SSU rRNA". It matches the Rfam family "Bacterial small subunit ribosomal RNA", at positions 102 to 694 of the family's 1533-position model. The record is from RNAcentral.